This 6865-nucleotide long non-coding RNA is filed under the name Salmo salar (Atlantic salmon). RNAcentral's name for it is "lncRNA (ENSSSAG00000111225.1)". Lineage: Eukaryota; Metazoa; Chordata; Actinopteri; Salmoniformes; Salmonidae. The record is from RNAcentral.
CUUCAUGAGGAUAGUAAUAAUAAAGGAUGAAGAAACGCAACAAAAUUCUAUUUAUAUGAGUAACACAUACAUUCCUAAUCAAAACUGAAGGCGCAUUCAAAUUAAAUGUGUCUAUUAUGAAAGAUGUUUUAGGUUCCCAAAGGAUCCCACCUGUAAUGAGAAAUGGAGAACAGCUUUGACUUAUAUUCCAAGGCAGUGUCACUACUUAUUUGGUAUUUUAUUAGGAUCACCAUUAGCUGUUGCAAAAGCAGCAGCUACUCUUCCUGGGAUCCACACAAAACAUGAAACAUACAGUUGAAGUCAGAAGUUUACAUACACCUUAGCCAAAUACAUUUAAACUCAGUUUUUCACAACUCCUGACAUUUAAUCCUAGUAAAAAUUCCAUGUCUUAGGUCAGUUAGGACCACAAAUUUAUUUUAAGAAUGUGAAAUGUCAGAAUAAUAGUAGAGAGAAUUAUUUAUUUCAGCUUUUAUUUCUUUCAUUACAUUCCCAGUGGGUCAGAAGUUUACAUACACUCAAAUAGUAUUUGGUAGCAUUGCCUUUAAAUUGUUGAACUUGGGUCAAACAUUUCAGGUAGCCUUCCACAAGCUUCCCACAAUAAGUUUGGAAGUUUGCUUGGGGUCAUUGUCCAUUUGGAAGACACAUUUGCGACCAAGCUUUAACUUCCUGACUGAUGUCUUGAGAUGUUCCUUCAAUAUAGCCACACAAAGCACCCCCACAACAUGAUGCUGCCACCCCUGUGCUUCAAGGUUGGGAUGGUGUUCUUCGGCUUGCAAGCCUCCCCCUUUUUCCUCCAAACAUAAUGAUGGUCAUUAAGGCCAAACAGUUCUAUUUUUGUUUCAUCAGACCAGAGGACAUUUCUCCAAAAAGAAUGAUAUUUGUCCCCAUGUGUGUAACAGGGUUAUAUUGGUGAUUCCCCUUACCACUUUAUUGUUAAGCCAAUGGGGUUUUGGUUUUAUUUUUGUCUUGCCUUCACCUACUCGACAUGGCAUCUUAUUGUCACGGUUGUCGUAGGGUAAAGACCAAAACGCAGCAGGAAUAUGUACACUCAUCUUCUUUAUUACUGACAAAGAAGGAAAAAAAACAAAACGUAUACAAAACACAACGACGACUAACAGGCCGGUAAGGCACAAAGCUAUACACAGCACAAUCUCCCACAAAAAAAACAUGAAAACAAACUCCUAAUUAUAGGACCCUCAAUCAGAGGCAACAAUAACCAGCUGCCUCCAAUUGAAGGUCCAACCACAAUUAACUAAACAAAGAACUACAAUAGACUAGAUAGAACAUAGAAAAAUACUAACAUAGAACAUAGACUAACAAACCCCGGACCACAUAAACCAAACACCCCUCUACCUAAAUACAUAGCCCAAACAACAUGAAACAAACACCCCCUGCCACAUCCUGACCAAACUAUAAUAACAAAUAACCCCUAUUAGUGGUCAGGACGUGACACUUAUUGACUGGUUUGCGUAGCUUGCUUACGAGGGAGGAUGUUUCAGUUAGAAUCUUCCCAGUGAACAAGCACCAAACCAGCGGUAAGUUGUUGGUUGCAAAGCACUGUACGUCAAAAGUGAUUUUUAUACUCCCAAGUGAUAAUUUAAAUGUACAAUUUAUAUCAAUUUGUUUGGAAAUGUUAUUCGAACAUCACACAUAAGAUGCAGCGGUUUUUGGUGAAUAUUGGUUGUGCAUUUUGUUGUAGAGAAUUCCAGCUAAUACUAGCUAGCAACUUACUGUGUCUGGUGGGGGGGUUUUAUAUUUUGUACAGUGCGUGAGUGCAGAGUUGGAUGGUGAGCCGUGCAUUGCAUGACGUGCAAUUUUGUGCUGUUCCUAUCAGAAUAAAUCUCCAUGACUGGUGUUACAAGUUGGAGUUCGUGUCGAUGAUUGAUUGUACACAACGCAAGAAGAGUACUAUUACAUGUGCAGUUCCAAACCGUAGUCUGGCUUUUUUAAUGGUGGUUUUGGAGCAGUGGCUUCUUCCUUGCUGAGCGGCCUCUCAGGUUAUGUCGAUAUAGGACUCGUUUUACUGUGGAUAUAGAUACUUUUGUACCUGUUUCCUCCAGCAUCUUCACAAGGUCCUUUGCUGUUGUUCUGGGAUUGAUUUGCACCAUUCGCACCAAAGUACGUUCAUCUCUAGGAGACAGAACGCGUCUCCUUCCUGAGCGGUAUGAUGGCUGCGUGGUCCCAUGGUGUUUAUACUUGCGUACUAUUGUUUGUAUGGAUGAACGUGGUACCUUCAGGCGUUUGGAAAUUGCUCCCAAGGAUGAACCAGACUUGUGGAGGUCAACAAUUUUUUGUCGAGGUCUUUGCUGAUUUCUAUUGAUUUUCCCAUAAUGUCAAGCAAAGAGGCACUGAGUUUGAAGGUAGGGCUUGAAAUACAUCCAUAGGUACACCUCCAAUUGACUCACAUUUUGUCAAUUAGCCUAUCAGAAGCUUCUAAAGCCAUGACAUAAUUUUCAGAAAUUUUCCAAGCUGUUUAAAGGCACAGUCAACUUAGUGUAUGUAAACUUCUGACCCACUGGAAUUAUGAUACAGUGAAUUAUAAGUGAAAUAAUCUGUCUGUAAACAAUUGUUGGAAAAAUUGCUUGUGUUAUGCACAAAGUCGAUGUCUUAACUGACUUUCCAAAACUAUAGAUUGUUAACAAGAAAUUUGUGGAGUGGUUGAAAAAUGAGUUUUAAUAACUCCAACCUAAGCGUAUGUUAACUUCCGGCUUCAAAUGUUACACAGAAUGACAUAACACAGUACAUCAUUAGACAAGAACAGUUCAAGGACAGAACUACAUACAGUUUUAAAAAAGGCACACGUAGCCUACAUAUCAAUGCAUACACACAAACUAUCUAGUUCAAAAAGGCGAGAGGCGUUGUGCCGCGAGGUGUUGCUUUAUCUGUUUUGCUCGCAGAAGUGUUUUAGGGAGCGUUUGACCGCGGACCCAUAGCGGAUGCAGGCAAUGAGGCAGUGAUCGCUGAGAUCCUGAUUGAAAACAGCAGAGGUGUAUUUGGAGGGCAAGUUGGUCAGGAUAAUAUCUAUGAGGGUGCCCAUGUUUACGGGUUUAGGGUUGUACCUGGUGGUUUCCUUGAUAAUUUGUGUGAGAUUGAGGGCAUCUAGCUUAGAUUGUAGGACUGCUGGGGUGUUAAGCAUAUCCCAGUUUAGGUCACCUAACAGAACGAACUCUGAAGAUUGAUGGGGGGGCAAUCAAUUCACAUAUCGUGUCCAGGGCAGAGCUGGGAGCUGAGGGGGGUUUAUAACAGGCGGCAACAGUGAGAGACUUAUUUCUGGAGAGAUUCAUUUUUAAAAUUAGAAGUUCGAACUGUUUGGGUAUAGACCUGGAAAGUAUGACAGAACUUUGCAGGCUAUCUCUGCAGUAGAUUGCAACUCCUCCCCCUUUGGCAGUUCUAUCUUCACAAAAAAUGUUGUAGUUGGGUAUGGAAAUCUCAGAAUUUUUGGUGGCCUUCCUAAACCAGGAUUCAGACACGGCAAAGACAUCAGGGUUGGCGGAGUGUGCUAAAGCAGUGAGUAAAACAAACUUAGGGAGGAGGCUUCUGAUGUUAACAUGCAUGAAACUAUUAGAUAGAUAGCUCUGAAUCUACGAUAUGGCAGAGGUUGAAAAGCCAUAGCACUGUUUUUUCAACAACAGGAUAUGGUCAUUAAUAUCAAAGGCUGCACUGAAAUCUAACAGUACAGCUCCCACAAUCUUCUUAUUAUCAAUUUAUUUCAACCAAUCAUCAGUUAUUUGUGUCAGUGCAGUACAUGUUGAGUGCCCUUCUCUAUAAGCAUCCUGAAAGUCUGUUGUUAAUUUGUUUACAGAGAAAUAGCAUUGUAUUUGGUCAAACACCAUUUUUUCCAACAGUUUGCUAAGAGCUGGCAGCAAGCUGAUCGGUCUGCUGUUAGAACCAGUAAAGGCUGCUUUACCACUCUUGGGUAGCGGAAUUACCUUGGCUUCCCUCCUGGCCGGAGGACAUCUAGGGUCAGAUUAAAGAUAUGACAGAUAGGAGGGGCUAUGGAGUCAGCUACCAUCCUCAGUAGCUUUCCAUCUAAGUUGUCAAUGCCAGGAGGUUUGUCAUUAUUGAUUGUUAACAAUCAUUUUUCCACCUCUCCCACACUAACGUUACAAAAUUCAAACUUGCACUGCUUUUCUUUCAUUAUUUGUUUUUUUAUAUAUUAAUAUAAUUGCUCACUGUUUGUCAUGGGCAUUUCCUGCCUAAGUGUGCCCACUUUGCCAAUGGAAUAAUCAUUAAAAUAAUUAGCAAAAUCAAAUGAUUUUGUGAUGAAUAAGCUAUCUGAUUCGAUGAAAGAUGGAGUUGAAUUUGUCUUUCUGCCCAUAAUUUCAUUUAAAGUACUCCAAAGUUUUUUUCCGUCAUUCUUUGUCAUUUAUCUUGCCUUCAUAAUACAGUUUCUUCUUCUUUUUGUUGAGUUUAGUCACAUCAUUUCUCAAUUUGCAGUAAGUCAGACAGUCAGAUGUGCAGCCAGACUUAUUAGCCAUUCCUUUUGCCCCAUCUCUUUCAACCAUACAGUUUUUCAAUUCCUCAUCAAUCCAUGGAGCCUUAACAGUUCUAGCAGUCAGUUUCUUAACAGGUGCAUGUUUAUCAAUAAUAGGAAAAAGCAAUUUCAUAAAUUCAUCAAGUGCAGCAUCUGGAUGCUCCUCAUUAAUCACAUCAGACCAACAAAUAUUUUUAACAUCAUCCACAUAAGAGUCACAGCAAAAUGUUUUGUAUGAUCUCUUAUACACUAUUUUAGGCCCAGCUGUUGGAACUUUGGCUUUCCUGGAUAUAGCCACUAUAUUUUGAUCACUGCAUCCAAUGGGUAUGGAUAUAGCUUUAGAACAAAGUUUGACAGCAUUAGUAAAAAUGUGAUCAAUACAUGUGGAUCUUGUUCCUGUAGCGUUUGUAAACACCCUGGUAGGUUGAUUAAUAACCUGAACCAGAUUACAGGCACUGGUUACAGUGAGAAGCUUCCACUUGAGCGGGCAGCUUGAUGAAAACCAGUCAAUAUUCAGGUCCCCAAGAAAGUAAACCUCUCUGUUUACAUCACAUACACUAUAAAGCAUUUCACACAUAUUAUUUAGAUUCUGACUGUUAGCACUUGGUGGCCUAUAGCAACACCCCAAAAGAAAAGGCUUUAGAUGUGCCAAGUGAACCUGCAACCACAACACUUCAAUAACACUUGAUAUAAGAUCUUCUCUAAGCAUUACAGGGAUAUGGUUCUGAAUAUGUACAGCCACACCUCCCCCAUAAGCAUUUCUGUCUCAACUAUAAAUGCUAUAUCCUUGUAUUGCUACUGAUGUAUCAUCAAAUGAAUUAUCUAAGCGAGUCUCAGAAAUGGCUAAUAUAUGAAUUCUAUCUGAUGUUAGCAAGUUAUUGAUUUCGUGAACCUUAUUUCUAAGGCUACAUACAUUAAUAUGGGCUAUUUUCAGCCCUUUCCUGGGUAGCUUAUCAGAGCUAGACAUAAUAUUGAAAAGAGCAGACAAAGAAAGAGAAAAAAUAUAUACAUUCAGCAGUCCAUUAAUCAAUAGAACUUGACCACUAUCGGCCUGGGCCUGUCACCUGUGCCGAUGGUGGGGUUUUCAAGCCUGUGGGCCACUCCACCUCAAUCUUCCUGUGGUCCAACUUCAAUUUCUCAGAGAUCAUUUCCCUCACUUUGUCCUCAGACUCCAUCCAGGUCUCAUGCGGAGAUCCUGCAAUUCCGUCCACAACCAUGUUGUUUCACCUUGAUUGUCCCUCGAGAUAGUCUGAUUAAUCUGUCAUUGUUAUCAUGGAUUCACACACAGAAUUGAUGUCCUCUCUCAAUGACUUACAGAUUACUGUCAUCUUGCCGUUCUCCUGUUUCAACUCGUUGACCUGCCCCUGGGAGAACUGCAAACUGUUCUUCAGGUCCUGGACCUCUCUGGUCAGGUCGUUCAUUCAUUUAUUAGUAGAAUCCACGAGUAUUUGGACAAAACACUUGAAACUAUUUUAUUGUUGUUGUAACAACUGCUUAUAGGUCUCUUUUUGUUUGUUUUGUUCGACUUGCAAGAUCCUACCCUUGACCUGCAAAACCCUAUUCCAACUCCCAUACCAUCAACUUCCACAGGAAAUGCAUACCCUGUAAGCACUCCAUAGACACACUCUACUGUACACAUACAAAAAUGAUGAUCUGUGGAGAGCUAUUUCAGCAGGGUGCUGACAUUGUGGAGCAUAGGACAUACAGUAAUAUGAAAUUAGGAAAGGAAAUGUUUUAGUUAUGGAAAUUAUAGGUUUAGCUGACAAGUGUAGGAAUGGCAUGAUUUGUCAUAACACAGGUUUACUGUACUAGCUUCUCACCUACCUUAGCACGAUAUGAAGAGUUGUUGAAAAUACAUAAAUAUACAGUACAUCUGGAGGCGCUGACCAUGGAUGGGAAUGCAUCGAACACAACAAUGUCUCGUCUUUUUGGCUGCCAGUUCGACCUUAAGACCCAAGAGACCACCGUAACGUCCUUUACACCAUCUGGGGUUGACGAGCCGACACAUAUUUUUUUAGAUGCAUGCCACAUGCUCAAGCUUGUUAGGAACUCACUGCACUGCUACAAAUGACUCAAAAGCGAGGAUGGGGUGAUCACAUUGUCAACCAAGGAGGCAUGUCGAUUUUUGACAACAGGAAACCUCAGCCGCUCUGUUGCCCAGGCCCUGAAAAUGCUGUACCUGUGUGAGGAACACAAGUUUUAAGAUUGCAUGCUUACAGUCAGGUUCUGUGAGGUAAUAAUUUCACAUUCGUAUAUCUUAUCUCACACAUCUAUCUCAGGGAAUGACAUCUGAAAUGCAAACCAAGAUAUUUCUUGUUAUGUUACAGAUCAUAGACAAGCUGUUUGACGUCUUCAACACAAGGAGCUCUGGAGGCCUCGGCUCAAAGGCUG